This 327-nucleotide ribosomal RNA is filed under the name uncultured eukaryote. RNAcentral's name for it is "partial 18S ribosomal RNA". It matches the Rfam family "Eukaryotic small subunit ribosomal RNA", at positions 1470 to 1796 of the family's 1831-position model. The record is from RNAcentral.
CCCUUAGAUGUUCUGGGCCGCACGCGCGCUACACUGACGAUGUCAGAGAGUGUCUCCUUCACCGAGAGGUGUGGGUAAUCUUUUAAACAUCGUCGUGCUGGGGAUAGAUCAUUGCAAUUUUUGAUCUUAAACGAGGAAUUCCUAGUAAGCGCGAGUCAUCAGCUCGCGCUGAUUACGUCCCUGCCCUUUGUACACACCGCCCGUCGCUACUACCGAUUGAAUGGUUUAGUGAGGCCUUCUGACUGGCGCCGCUACUCUGGCAACAGAGCGGCGGAUGCCGGGAAGUUGGUCAAACUUGAUCAUUUAGAGGAAGUAAAAGUCGUAACA